Carassius carassius (crucian carp) is the source of this 467-nucleotide long non-coding RNA. RefSeq lists it as uncharacterized. NCBI's taxonomy places the organism in Eukaryota, Metazoa, Chordata, Actinopteri, Cypriniformes, Cyprinidae. The record is from RefSeq and is a predicted model, not a curated record. The transcript is spliced from 3 exons.
UCAAAUGUAUAUUUUAGGUCUUCCUCAUCUAUAUUUAAUUUAUCGCUCGUCAUUGUUAAAACGAUUGAAAUGCCAAUCAUAGCGCACAGUAGCCAAUCCAAGGCUUUAGAUUAAUCACGCUUGUUGAGAUCACGUGCUUGUGACUGAAUUCACCGCGAUCACGAAGUUUCUCGUCUUAAACAACAAAUAGUGUUUUAGCGACGUAAGUACUACAUUUCGCUGCUUCAGUAAUUAUAAAUGCUGAAUUUCAUCGGAUCACAACCCUUCCUUUACAGUCCAAAAUUCCUGUCCAAACUGCAUCGGUUCUCUGAUGAUCUGCUAAAAGUGUUUACUAAAAAGGGUGAAGUUUAGAAAAAAGAUUCAAGAUGCGAUGGUGCCAAUGUCUCAGACCAAGCAACAGUGCAUUCUCAAGGGGCUAUGCAUCUACCUGAAUGAAGAUGAAGGUGAUGGAGUAUUUGGUGAGUGCA